This 277-nucleotide ribosomal RNA is filed under the name uncultured bacterium. RNAcentral describes it as "partial 16S ribosomal RNA". It matches the Rfam family "Bacterial small subunit ribosomal RNA", at positions 28 to 330 of the family's 1533-position model. The record is from RNAcentral.
GACAAACGCUGGCGGCGUGCGUAAAACAUGCAAGUCGAACGGUCGGUUCGCCGGCCGUGGCAGACGGCUGAGUAACGCGUAGGAACCUGCCCAGGCGUGGGGGAUAACCGCCCGAAAGGGUGGCUAAUACCGCAUACGGUCCUUCGGGAAGAAAGCCCAUGGUGCGCUUGGAGGGGCCUGCGUCCGAUUAGCUGGUUGGCGGGGUAACGGCUCACCAAGGCGAUGAUCGGUAGCUGGUCUGAGAGGAUGAUCAGCCAGACUGGGACUGGGACACGGC